AUGUCUGUUCAUGAUAAAUCCCUGAAAACCACUGAGGAAGUGGCUCUUCAGAUCCUCUUGCUUUGCCAGUUUGGGGUUGGGACCAUGGCCAAUGUCUUUCUGUUUGUCCAUAAUUUCUCUCCAGUCUUGACUGGUUCUAAACAGAGACCCAGACAGGUGAUUUUAAGCCACAUGGCUGUGGCCAAUGCCUUGACUCUAUUCCUCACUAAAUUUCCAAACAACAUGAGUGCUUUUGCUCCCAAAACUCCUCCAACUGAACUCAAAUUUAAAUUAGAAUUCUUCAGUCACAUGGUGGCAAGAAGCACAAAUUUGUGUUCCACCUGUAUCCUGAGGAUCCAUCAGUUUGUCACUCUUGUUCCUGUUAAUAGAGGUAAAUGUAAACUUAUACUCAGAGCAAGUGUCCCAAAUUUGUGGAAUUAUUCUUGCUACAGUUGUUGGUUUUACAGUGUCUUAAGUAGUAUCCACAUUCCAAUUAAGGUCACUGGUCCACAGAUAACAGACAAUAACACUGACUCGAAAAGCAACUUGUUCUGUUCCACUUCUUUUUUUUUUUGCGGUUUUAAGUAUGUA
RNAcentral lists this long non-coding RNA (570 nucleotides) under Mus musculus (house mouse). RNAcentral's name for it is "long non-coding RNA chr7:21092109-21092679". The record is from RNAcentral. Lineage: Eukaryota; Metazoa; Chordata; Mammalia; Rodentia; Muridae.